AUUGAACGCUGGCGGCAGGCCUAACACAUGCAAGUCGAGCGGAUGAAGGGAGCUUGCUCCUGGAUUCAGCGGCGGGCGGGUGAGUAAUGCCUAGGAAUCUGCCUGGUAGUUGGGGAUAACGUCCGGAAACGGGCGCUAAUACCGCAUACGUCCUGAGGGAGAAAGUGGGGGAUCUUCGGACCUCACGCUAUCAGAUGAGCCUAGGUCGGAUUAGCUAGUUGGUGGGGUAAAGGCCUACCAAGGCGACGAUCCGUAACUGGUCUGAGAGGAUGAUCAGUCACACUGGAACUGAGACACGGUCCAGACUCCUACGGGAGGCAGCAGUGGGGAAUAUUGGACAAUGGGCGAAAGCCUGAUCCAGCCAUGCCGCGUGUGUGAAGAAGGUCUUCGGAUUGUAAAGCACUUUAAGUUGGGAGGAAGGGAAGUAAGUUAAUACCUUGCUGUUUUGACGUUACCAACAGAAUAAGCACCGGCUAACUUCGUG
This 484-nucleotide ribosomal RNA is filed under the name uncultured bacterium. RNAcentral describes it as "partial 16S ribosomal RNA". It matches the Rfam family "Bacterial small subunit ribosomal RNA", at positions 30 to 507 of the family's 1533-position model. The record is from RNAcentral.